GAUGCAGCCAGUCAGGAUGCUAUCAGUUGUCUAUGGUUCCAGUGCAGGAGCAAUUCGGAUAGGCACACGGACGGGAGGGGUAUGAUCCAGACGCAGGUCGACGGGAAUUUUUACACCCGUACUUCGAAAUAAGCAGCGGGGUGCGCCAUUUGCGUUAACAACCAACACGCCCACGGGUGUGCUGGGGCAGCCCACCCAUUCCAGUGCCAGCAUAGUAUACCCACAACGCUCGGCUAUUGAGUGACUGAAAGGAAGGAGGCCAUUCUGCCCAUCGCACCCACUCCAGCCAAAGUCAAAUCUGUUUGGUUAAUGCUCCGUUCGGCCCCUGCCAGCAAAACGGUCUUCCCGACAGUACGGUAUUCCCACCGCACUGCCCUCCCUCCCAGGCGGAAUAGCAAUUCCCUUAUCAAAACCUGCCCUCCUCCAUCUCCUCAGAAUUACAAGCGCAGAGACCCUUCUGAAGAAAUCUUGUCUUAUCUCAGCCCGAGCUCGGUGAGAAGUCUCGUCCCGGUGCCCUUCGCCCCAUCAGGGGUGGCAAACCUUUUUUCUCUACCCAAACUUCCCGCCUGUGCCACAAUGACUCGGAACCAGAGAUUACAUCGAACAAUGAAUAAGUAAUGAUAAUCGUGGGCACCUUUGCUGGUCUCGGGUUGCAAAAAACAAUAAAAUAAAAUAAAAAUUUUGCCGCUUCAUUUGGCACCCGCCAAAAAGAAAAUCUUUGCAUGCGCCAUCUUGGGCACACGUGCCAUAGGUUCGCCACCCCCUGUUAGAUACUUCAGCUUAAAGAGUCAAAUCUUCAGUGUCUACAGCGCAAGUUGUCUGGACAUGUGAAUCACUUCAUAGUUCUGAAACACAAUGGGUUAAAGUCUUUCCUGAAUCAGACGAGGGAAGUGUCUGCCUUAGCCUCUGUAUCAGAAUGGACACUCCCGAUAUACCGUGGGCGCACAUAUAUUAACCAAACAGCGAAAAUAAAGUAUGCUUGUUAAAAUAAUACUCUAUUUUCUUUUUCACCGCAGUCUCGGGACGCUGCAGAGCUUCAUGCUGGGCUAUGGCGAAACUGCACACUCGGCAGUUUGGUUAAUUUUCCCAGCCGGUGGUCCGCUACCCUCUUCACGCCCGCCCUUUGAAGCUCUUCCAUCCCAAAUAUUUGUCCCUCUCCAGCUAAUUCUGCUUCAGCUGCCGGGGCCGGGCGGAGAAGGCCGAGGAUGUGGGGGGGGUGGGGGGGGGGUGACGUUGCGCGGGGAAGAAAGCGAGAUCCUCCCAAGUUGACGCUUGCUCUCGGGACGGCCACGUUGACCUUUACGACUUCGGCGCAAAGACGAACGGAAAUAACUUUUCUUUGUGCUACACUUGCAAGGGUGGAACUCCUCCGAUGGCUUUUGGUAUUCCCUGUCCUCGCACGGUCUGCCCGCUACGGUCCCGUCAAGUUUACUCAACAGUGCGCUUGAGAUAUCCUUCCGAAACCUUGACACUACUCUUAACUUGGGAUUAAGAGUGCUGGAGGGAUCCAGCAGCAUCUCCCCCCCCACCCACCCCGUCCCUCUCCACGCCUCGUGACGCAUCAAGGUGGCCACCUCGCCAUUUCUGUAUCAUUUGCCUAUAUUUUUUUUAAAUGAGGCCGAGUUUCUAGCUCGACGCUCGACCCAGCGCGGGCAGAAAGCGCGCGAGGAGCCGGCCGGAUUCGAACCCGGGACCAGCCCGGUGCAGAUGCCGCUACACCGCCAGCCGGCCUAGGCCGCACCUAUGGAGAGGGAUAAGGAGCCAGCAUUCCGGGCCGAGACCCUUCUUCGGGAUAGACUCCGGAUCCAGCCCACACCGUCCCUACGCUGCCCGACCUGCUGUGUUCCUCCCGUGUUUUGCCUGCGUUGCUCUGGAUUUCCAGCAUCUGCAGAAUCUCUUAGCCAACUAACCAGCUAACCCCGCACAGGGAAUGUUUGAGAGGAGAGAAUUCCUCCCCAGUAGGGACUGGAACCCCAGUGGGUAAGGGGAUAUUAACCGUCUGUCACGAACUACGUCUGAUCCGUCGCCGAUCCUCGACCCUAGCGAGGAAAGCUCCCAGCGCACAGAGACAGGUCAGACGACGAGCUGUAAAUCGGGGAGCAACCGUUCCCGUACCGUGCAAGCCAGAAUGCACAUUAACGUCGCUGCACCCCCACAGGACAUUUUCCAGAGGGGCCGACGAGGGUCAUUGAACCGAAACAGAAACCAAGCCGAUUAUUCGGAUAGGUGGCAUAGACACACUCGAAGUUGAGUCAAACCGGACACACUGGAGACUGUGGUAGAACAAAGGACCCGACGGAAAACCCUGGCGAUUCCGGACGAUGUUUCUCACCCUCUGCACGCCUGAACAGAGGAGCACUUUUAGUAACAGACCGAGACAACUGCGCCGCUCCAAACAGGUCAUCCUUACCCUCGGCCAUUGGGCUCGAUAAUGAGUCGGGGAAGUGAUGACUGUCUGAGGUGACUUAUUUUUUAUUCUUUCUCACUUCUCUGCUAAUAUUUGUGUAUCUGUGCACUUGUAAUGUGACUCUGUAAUUUCCUUUGGGAUCAGUAAAGUAUCUGUCGACCUUAACCCAUGACCUCUCGUUGUAGUCAAGUACACAGAACAGUGCAGGCAUUACAAUAAAUAAUAAACAAGACAAUAGGCACAACAGAGGGCAGUAGGUAGGUAGUUCAGAUGGCUUCGGGGAAAAUCUGUUACAUAAAUAAACAGCUGAAUGACAGCAUCUGGGAUUCCGUCCGUUUCUGUACUCCCGCCGAGUAUUUCAUUGCCACAGAUGUAGUCCAGUUUAAUGUCCACUGGAGAGCAGAAUGGACAGGAGAGCCGGCCAGCCGGCUAGGGCUCGCUUUUCUCCUGGCACGGACCCCUGCCCGCUCGCCUCGCUUCCACGUCCUCUCACACCGCCUACGACGUCCCCACCUCCGGCAUCGGGCGACUCCGAGGACUGCAGGCCCGAUUCCCUCAGCGAGCCGAGGUCGCGCAAUCCAACCGGCAGAUUUCGUUUUCGGGCCAUCUCUGUAUCGUUUGUUUUCGGGCCUUCUCUGUAUUGCGGCAGUAACUGGCGAUGGUAGACGGUCGCUCUGUUAUCCAUUGCCCUAAAACCCUAAUCGUGCCUCAAAAUUAAAUAAAAAAACUAAAUUAAAGUAGCACCAGAUCUGAAAGGCCGCUGCGGCCACGUUCCAGGCUGCCUACAGGAUCUGCCCAACCUCAGUGGAGAAAGCCUAUCUAUACCCCUCAUAAUUUUGUAUACCUCGAUCAAACCUCCCCUCAAUCCAAGAAAUAAAGUCCUACCUAACCUAUUCGAUCUUUCCUUAUAACUCAGACCCAACAACAUCCUUGUAUAUUUUCUCUGAACUCCUUCACCCUGAUCUCCAUCCUUCCUUGGGGGGGUGGGGGGGUUAGGUGACCAUUCUGGACUGACAGGAGGAACCAUUUCUUCAUGUGCGUCGUUGGGAACAACGCUGUGGCUGCCACUCUAAUCAGGCACACCGACAUCAUCUGCCCACCCACCUCAAGGCCUGACGUGCCGUGUGUUUGGAAUCCCACAGAUUCAACGCCCUCCCGUU
Long non-coding RNA from Hypanus sabinus (Atlantic stingray), 3567 nucleotides. RefSeq lists it as uncharacterized. The transcript has 3 exons. The record is from RefSeq and is a predicted model, not a curated record. Lineage: Eukaryota; Metazoa; Chordata; Chondrichthyes; Myliobatiformes; Dasyatidae.